Molecule: long non-coding RNA, 576 nt
Filed under: Pomacea canaliculata
Lineage: Eukaryota; Metazoa; Mollusca; Gastropoda; Architaenioglossa; Ampullariidae
Description: uncharacterized LOC112577040
Source: RNAcentral
GAAGCCUUAUAUAAGCGGCUGUGAGGCGGCUUGAGACCACGAGUGAGGCUUGCCAUCCAGCAGUUGGUAGACAUCAUCUCUUACAAGAUCUACAAUGAAGGCUGUCGUCGUCGUUGCACUGUGCGUCCUCGUGGCUAUCAGUGAAGCUGGCUUUAUUUCCCCAGGCUACGGCUUUGGUGGAUACGGCUACGGCAUUGGUGGCAUUGGUGGCUUUGGAGGUCUUGGUGGUCUUGGUGGUCUGGGCGGCUUUGGCGGUCUGUACGGUGUCAAAGGAAUUGGCCUCGGAGGCUUGGGUGGCAUCGGCCUCGGCGGCUUAGGUGGCAUCGGCCUCGGCGGCAUCGGCCUCGGUGGAAUCGGCCUCGGUGGCAUUGGCAUUGGUGGCCUCGGCCUCGGUGGUAUAGGAGGAGGUUUCUACAGGGGAUUCCCGUACUACAAGAAAUACGUCUACUAAGAAAUGAAGAAUUCAAGCCGCUGACGUCCAAGGAGAGGAGUUUACCCGUUUGAAAUCGUGAAAACAACAAUGCCUUGGCUACGUACACAGCUUUGAAGCAAUAAAUCUAUUAAUCAACGAUUAAA